GACGAACGCUGGCGGCGUGCUUAACACAUGCAAGUCGAACGGAAAGGCCCUGCUUUUGUGGGGUGCUCGAGUGGCGAACGGGUGAGUAACACGUGAGUAACCUGCCCUUGACUUUGGGAUAACUUCAGGAAACUGGGGCUAAUACCGGAUAGGAGCUCCUGCUGCAUGGUGGGGGUUGGAAAGUUUCGGCGGGUGGGGAUGGACUCGCGGCUUAUCAGCUUGUUGGUGGGGUAGUGGCUUACCAAGGCUUUGACGGGUAGCCGGCCUGAGAGGGUGACCGGCCACAUUGGGACUGCGAUACGGCCCAGACUCCUACGGGGGGCAGCAGUGGGGAAUAUUGCACAAUGGGCGGAAGCCUGAUGCAGCAACGCCGCGUGCGGGAUGACGGCCUUCGGGUUGUAAACCGCUUUCGCCUGUGACGAAGCGUGAGUGACGGUAAUGGGUAAAGAAGCACCGGCUAACUACGUG
Molecule: ribosomal RNA, 468 nt
Filed under: uncultured bacterium
Lineage: Bacteria
Description: partial 16S ribosomal RNA
Rfam family: Bacterial small subunit ribosomal RNA
Source: RNAcentral